This 772-nucleotide ribosomal RNA is filed under the name uncultured delta proteobacterium. RNAcentral's name for it is "bacterial SSU rRNA". It matches the Rfam family "Bacterial small subunit ribosomal RNA", at positions 97 to 856 of the family's 1533-position model. Lineage: Bacteria; Deltaproteobacteria. The record is from RNAcentral.
GGCGCACGGGUGAGUAGCGCGUAAGUUAUCUACCCUCCCAUCUGGAAUAACUCACCCGAAAGGUGUGCUAAUACGGGAUACGUUGGAAACAAGAAAAGGUGGCCUCUAUUUAUAAGCUACCCGUGGGGGGGAUGAGCUUGCGUACCAUUAGCUAGUUGGUAGGGUAAUGGCCUACCAAGGCAACGAUGGUUAGCGGGUCUGAGAGGAUGAUCCGCCACACUGGAACUGGAACACGGACCAGACUCCUACGGGAGGCAGCAGUGAGGAAUAUUGCGCAAUGGGGGAAACCCUGACGCAGCGACGCCGCGUGGAUGAUGAAGGCCUUUGGGUCGUAAAAUCCUGUCAGAUGGAAAGAAAUGCUAUAGUAUUAAUACUGCUAUAGUUUGACGGUACCAUCAAAGGAAGCACCGGCUAACUCCGUGCCAGCAGCCGCGGUAAUACGGAGGGUGCAAGCGUUGUUCGGAAUUACUGGGCGUAAAGCGCGCGUAGGUGGCUUUUUAAGUCAGAUGUGAAAGUCCACGGCUCAACCGUGGAAGUGCAUUUGAAACUGGAAAGCUUGAGUAUUGGAGGGGGUAGUGGAAUUCCCGGUGUAGAGGUGAAAUUCGUAGAUAUCGGGAGGAAUACCAGUGGCGAAGGCGACUACCUGGCCAAAUACUGACACUGAGGUGCGAAAGCGUGGGGAGCAAACAGGAUUAGAUACCCUGGUAGUCCACGCCGUAAACGAUGUCAACUAGGUGUUGGGAAGGUUAAUCUUCUCAUUGCCGCAGCUAAC